CGGAGACUUGUUUUCAGGAAGACCAGACUUCCUGUGUGAUGGAGCAAUGGAUGAGAGGAGGAAGAGGGGGAUGGGAUAGACAGGAAAAGACAGACAGAGCGAGAUAGAUAGGGAUGAGGCAUCAGUCCAAAACACAUCGUGAUUUGGGGCAUUUUGUUUCUUUUUUCUUUUCCUGACAGACGGGCAGCUGUAAGGGAGUCCAAGCAACAAGAGAAGAGAAAAUUACAAUGCAGAUCUUUUGCUACGUUUCAUGCUUUUACCUUUUGUCUACUGCACCUGCAAAAAGUCUUGUCUCAUGUAAGGCAGCUUAGCAGGGAGUGGUCUGAUGAGCUACAAGGAUUUAUUCAAGGCAAUGAGUUCUCACGGGUACUAACAAGUUCGUUUUUUGGACUUGGAUUUGAACAUUGUGCACUCACAAAUCAAAAAAGCAAUAUUUGCCUUUCCCCCCUUUCUCCCUUUAAAAAUGAGAAACACUGAGUAAUGGGACAACCAGCAAAAGGACUGGAAACAAGAAGAGGUAAAGCUCCCAUUAACAGAAGGUAGGUUGCACUUCACCUUUGAUAGGCAGAAAAACAGCAUUUUCUCUUUGUGUAUCUGCAUCUAAUUUAUUAGCAUAAACAACCACGGAGAUUUGGCAUUAUGAUUUAAAUGAAAAUCUAAAGCUAUACAAAUAUGAAACUUUUUAAAUGGGCAUCAUCUCACCAUCAUCAUGACAGUUGUUUUCAGUUUUAUAGCUUUGGAAAUUUGUAUCCUUGGGUGCAGUCAGCUGACAUGUAAUGCUCAUGAUUUUCAGUUUUUUCUCUUUGUCUCUCUCAAUAUUUUCUUCUCACUUUCACUUUAUCAGCAUCCCCAACUCUCAGUUUUGUCUCAUCAUUGGCUUUUUCUGUGAAUCUUGCUCAUAAAGUCUCAGUACGAGUGAUUUAAUGACUGUGGCACAGGUGGAUGAGUGGGCUUUUGAUUGAUUUGUAGGGCAGGUGGUUCAAACCUGGGCUCCUUCGACAUGCAUGCACAAGUAUCCCUGAGUAAAAAGCUUAAAUGAAGAUGGGUGGUUUAUGGGAGCCACUGGCUGUGAAAGUGGAGUCCAUAUAACAUAUAAUGCUUUUCCUGAACAAAUCUGCAAUAGUUAGCUAAUUGCAUUUACCAGGCGAACCCUGCCACUAAGACUCAGGACCAACACCAGCUGUUUAUUUACAGCUUUAGCCAUAAGGUGUCUAACAUACACUUGAAUAUGUAAAUAUCCUUUAUGUUAAACAUGUGCCAUCACCUUGAAAAUUGUAACACUUGCUUUUUAUCAGACAUGGACUGUAAUAAAAUGUACUGCAGUUCUGGAUUUUACAAUUUUUCACAAUUUUUUGUUACAGAGCAAGAAUUUUUUUUCUCACCCCCCGUUUUUAGUGUCUCAUGAUGACAUACUACAAACAGCUUUAUGCAAAGUUUGCAAAUCUGUGACAAUAAGCAGUAAUUUUGACAUCUGCAGACGUUUGCACUUUCUGCACCACCGAAAAGUGCGAAGGUUUACCCGAAGCAGACUAUUUCCACAGUUUUUCUUUCCCAACAACAGACUUAUUUCCAUCAUGGUCCUGGCUUAUCCAGGUGCAUGCGUUAGAUGAUGGAUUUUUAUGAUGACUUUGCAGGAAGGCUCUCCGCAGUGCAGGUGAAACAAUGCGCUCCCUGCUCGUCUACAGCUUCCUGCACCUCCCGCAGGACCUUUGGCUAGUUUCCUUUUUCUUUUGGCCCUGGACACAUUUUUUCUUGAUGUCAUUUUACUUUGUCAUGAAGCCUAAUUUUCAGUUGUAGUUAGUUGUAGUAUAAUUCUUGAAUGUUACCAAAAGGUUUGAAGAGUCAGAGGGUUAAUCAAAUCUGGACUGAUCAGUUAAAUCACCCGCUAAAUGUACUAUUAAUCAUGUUUAUAUAUUUUAUUAAGCACUUUACAGUCUUGAUAUCAAAUCCUGACAUCAUUUAUCUGCUUUAUUUAUUUAUGAUGGCUCAUCAGGUUAGACUUGAUGUUCCACUGAUGCUAAACUAAAUCUUUAAGUCCACCACUAAUGCCUGCAAUGCUCGGCCUCUCAGACAUGAGUGAGAGAGGCACCCUGUUCGUCCUUCCGUCCAGGGAAAGUGGUCGCUCCUCCUCUUUUUGGGCUCAGUUACACCUUUGACUAUUUCUAUCUGACCAGCUGCGGUGUGGGCAUGUCAGAGACACUCUGAAAUUCAGCCAAGACCAGCCCUCCAAAAGUACUCUUAAACUCCACCCUCCAGGACUGCUCACCACCCUCUGUCUUUGGAACAGUUUAGUCUUGUGCUUCUGUUUUGGCACCUGUCUUUCAGCACUAAAUGUGUGAUUGUCUGUGGCAUUCAGUGUGCAUGUGCAUGUGUGCAUGCCAUUCUAUUUCAUCCAUGCACUGUUUUGAUGCACUCUUGUGCAACUGGUUAGUGUGCGUAUGCAGUACAAUGAGACAGUGUGCGCAAUUUUGAAUGAACCCAAAGCAUAUUGCUUGAGUGUGUGUAUUCAUGUUGCUGCCUUUAAGUUGCUUAAAGCUAUAAAACUCACACAUACAUGUAAUAUGUUUAUAAUGAAGAACAAGAAAGGUACCCUGUGGGGUAAUCAGUAAGUAAACUGUGAUGCUUCAAAGACUUAUUGACAUUUAUAAUGUACAUAUUGGGGUGUCACCCUGGUCUAAGCACUGCAGUAUGAGCUUACUCUAGCCCAUGUUAGUACACCUAGCAACCACAACCAACUAACUCCAGUGUGGAUAUUAUACUAGAGUGUUCCCUUUCUCAGGCUUCAGGUGAAUGCAGACCAGUGCCACCUGAACUUGAUUUGCCUCCUGAUUAAAGUAGGUCUAUGUAUGGAUGCACAGCACUACAUAAUAUACCUAUUGUGUGACACGUAAACAAUUACAUUUUACAGGGGACAUUUUUUUAAAUAAGGAAAUGACAUAAAUUAAAUAUCUUGAGGUGGAAAUCCUUUAUAAAUUGUCUGUUAUGCUAUCUCUACAAUGUCCCUGGUUUUAACCCUGUUUUAAAUCAGCUGUUUUACUGCUCAUGAGCUGCCCACGCCCUGUUAGGAAGUGUCUCAGUGACAGCAAGUGGCAGCCAGUGGGAGCAGCCCAGGUCAUGUGGGAGCAGACAUGAGACACUCUUUUGCGUGGUCUGUCUGAGGAGCAGUUUUACAUAUAAUUUUGGCCAAAGCACAGCCCUUGACUUUCAGUUACAUGUUGGCAGUUUGUGUCGCGUGGUGUUCAUUUUAGUGCAAAGUAGCAACCUAAAAAUUGCUUGGAGGUGGUAACUGGUUAACACUGUAACCUUUCAAUGUAACAGUGUGUCAAGUGGAUUGAACAAUGCUUUAUAGUCUAUGGUAAUGUAAUUAUAUACAAACAGAAUUCCAAAAAAGUAGAGACGCAAAAUGUAAUUAAAAAGAGAAUGCAUUGAUUUGCAAAAACCCAUAUUUUAGAAGACAUCUCAAAUGUUUAAACUGAGGCAUUUCACUAUUUCCACUUUGCCUCAGUCCAUUUUAAGUGAGGUUUGUCUCUGAAUCAGCCAACACAUAGCUUCAUUGCAUUACAGAGCUUUAACCUGGAUUCGAGGAUGGCACGGUGAACUGUAUUCACAGACAGUGAUUUAUGUAAGUGAUCCAGGCUUUAUUGUUUGCUACAGGGUCCAACCAACAACUGCUGAGAACCACAGGCCAAAACAAGCCACUAUAUAAAAGGAUUCAUCAUGAAAGCAUAGUGUCCUGUUUCCUGUUCCUAUAGUGUGAGAUAGAGGAUAUAGCCCUGGGCAGAGCUUGAUUCCCAAAUAAAGAUAGUUAUGUAUAUUCCAAUGCCACAAGCCCCUGUAAAUCUCAUCACAUUUAAGAUUAGCCGCUGAAACAGAUCUGCUCUUAUCUGAUCAGGGCUGUCUGUGUGCCUGUGUGUGUGUGUGUGUGUGUAAAUUAGAGCUCUGUCAACGAGUGCUUGAACUCAGCUCCUUCAAAAACACUUCAAACCAGUCGAGGAGCACCGCAGCUGUGAUCAAGUAUGUGUGCCUAAAUGUGAGUGUGUAUGUACAGGUCAGAGGUCACAGUCAAGCCUUUUAACACUUUUUCUCUCUGUCGUUGGCUCGCCAGCAGUCCUGACAGUUUAAGGAAAUUCCUUCUCACAUGUAUGAACUCUGCAUGUUCACUUUUUUUAAUGCUGUAGUAUCACUUUGCCCUGCUGAGCUGCGCCCUUAGCAGCACUUUGAUUACAGCACUGGAUGAGGUAAGUGUUUACAAGGAUAAGUGCGACAGCUACCAAGUGACAGACAGGUCAGGCCUUUCACCACUUGGUUUGUUGGUUGCACCAACCGGCUGAUGUAGCGGUUUAAGUGAUAAAAGCUGCUCUCUUCCUUGCUCUGAAUGUCUGGAAAAUCAAAUAUCGCAAAUGUAGCAUCACCAAUUUUCCCUGCUAGGAUGCUUUACAGUUUGUGUGUUAGUGUGUGAAAUAAAGUACUUAGCAAUUUUUAAUACGCCACUUGAGGCUAACUUUUACACUCUACUGCCACCAAGUGGUAGGAGGCUGGACUAUUCUCCUGUUUUCAAUGUUUCUUAUGAUCUGUACCAGUAUUAAAAAAAAAACAUCCACUUCAUAAGAUGAACAUUUUUUAAGCCUAAAUGUGUGAUUUUCUUUAAUCACUAAGAAAAAAAUGUUAAAGGUAAAGUUUAUUUUAAUAAAGGUCAGCUCCUUUGCAUCAGCAAACUUGUGUUUUUAUGUCAUUUUCCUUAAACAAAGUCAUUCAACUUUUUUUCACUUCAUAUUUUUCACUUCUUCCUUUAUUUAGUGGUUAUGGAGUCAAAUUCAGAGGCCAGGUCUAAUUAGUAAUCCCAAGGAAGUAGAACAGGGAUGUCAAAGCAAUUCUGCACCAUGCGCCACUUUUGACCUUAAGUGGGCCAGAUCGGCGAAACCCCCCUGCUUUCAGUGCAAAGAAGUUUAAUCACACAUUUAAUCUGUCAGAGAUCUUAAUAUGAGAUAAAGCGGUUCAGUUUCAACAGUAUACACCAGUUUUUCUACAUGAGAAAGAAAUGCUUCUGUAGUAAACGAAAGAAAUAUCUCAACUAUUUGAGCUUAAAAUGGCAUAAACAAAUGUUUAAAUUUACUGAAAAAGCUAGAGCCAGAUUUGGGUAUCAGAUUGGAGGCCAAAUGUUUGACAUGCCCAAAAUAGAACAAUAAUGGGCUCGUGGCUUAAAUAUCUAAUUAAAAUAUGGAUAUAUUAAAAUGAUUCACAUUUCCCAUCCUGUGCAAGUCAUUCUUGAAGUAGCCUACAUUUUUUAGACUAAUAUAUUACACUUUAUGUCCUCAUAUCACCAAAGAAUGAGUUCAGAUAGAUCCCACCCAACUCCACCUCAUCCCUACCCAGCUGACAAAGAUCCGAGCUUCUCAUACACUCCUGUCUGAUCCUAUACCUGUCUGUCCGCUUCUUUUUUAUUCAAACACACAGUCACGCCUUCCCCAAUGCAGUAUGCCCCCUGGCACUGGCUAGUUCAGACAGACUGGCAGUGUUCUCAGAGAUCUGGAAGAGCAGGUGUACUGCUGUCAACAGAGGGCCUAUGAUCUGAGACAGAUUACACACUCAUGUCUUCACAUAAAAGCCACUAUUAAAAUAUUUUCUCUCUGCAAAGGGAGCUGUGCACUGUACAGCUGAUGCGAAGCAGCUUAGUCAUUCAUUUCACAGAUGCAGAGCUGGCACACCGGCUUUUCCUUCAAACAGUUUUCCAAAAAAAGAGGAUGUUACAGUUUUAUUACUGCUAGGACUGCACACCUUAAACCAACAGGGUGACAUAUUUAUUACGCUUUAUGAUGUUUUUUUAGUGUAGCAUUUCACUCCCUCUCAGCUUCUCUCAUCUGCGCCCAUGAGACCGAGCCGUGUCCAAAUAAAGGCUGCAAAGAGCACCAGCGGCAUUCUUACUGGAUGCUGCUGUACAUUACCCACAGUGCUUUGCCGUGUCUCAUUCCACGGCUGCCAAGACAGUGGCUUUAGGGACUGGAGCUCCAUAUGUUUCUCUCAGGGGUCUUGAGCACCGUGUACUUGGCACGCUCAGAAUAAGCCCAGUGAUCUCCAAUUACCCUCCUCUCACGGAUUGUUUGGUGUCACUUGCCGUCUGCCGGCUGAAUAUGAUGAUUCUGCGCCUACAGUGUAAAAGGAUAGUCGCACAGAUCUCUUGGCAUGCACUGUGCUCCUUACAACUCAAUUGGAGCGGUGACCCAAAGCCAGUCCAAACUAGCCAAUUAUGAAUUUCAAAAGCUCUUCAAGUCACAUGUGUCAAGUCAGUGUUGUACUGUGUUCCCCCUUUUGAGCUUAACACAGUUCUAAUUCUUGUCUUUCCUUUCCUUCACUUCUUGAUGCCUGCUCCAAAUGAUGUCACAGGUUGUGCCAUGAUGAGUUGGCCCAAAAUAAGCCAGCUUGACUAUCAUCACUUCUCCAAUACUUUAGAGAAAUAAUAAACUACAGCAAAUAAUAAAAUACAGCUACCGGCCUUCUUCCUGUUUGAUCGAAACUAAAGCUGCAUCAUACAUCUGACAUUUGGAUGCAGAAGCUGUCGACAUAUCUGAUUAUGGGAAACUCAGACAGGACACAUUCAUCAUUGCUCCAAUGUGAAAAUAGAACGUGAAAUAGACCGGAACAAGCUCGCAUUUUGUGCCAGUGAGAAGGCUUUCAGCUCUGCCACUCCAUCACAUUCUCAUAUGUACUGCUAAGUCCAGUCAAAUAAAACGUUGACUGUACUGAAACACUGUACUGUAAGCAGUCAGGGUGCCCUGGCUGACCUGAUAUGGAUGAAGGUUGCCGUGCGACAUGAUUCCCGGGAAGAUGACUCUACACUGGUGAAAUGAGCGGAAGGAGGAGUUUGGCAAUAAGCAAAAAGGACGAAUUCUGUAUGGAAACACCAUCUGUCCGUCUCUUUGGCUUGGUUCACAUCCUUUUUUUUUUCUAUUGAAAAGCAGAGAUGGACUGAAUGGUGAAAGCUGUUUCCUCCUGGGAACAACAUCCUGAUGCUGUCUGGGUAUGUAAAGCAGAACUCCAGCAUCAGUGAUUUUGUUGCCAAGGGGAGGACUAAGUCAACAGAAAAGCUGUAUGGUGAUAAUAAAAAGUAAAACCAGAAAAAAAGGGGAACAAUGUGCAGAAGCAGUGUCAACAGCUGUGGUAAACAUAUUAUUUAUAGCUGCAAUGAUCCAGCAGAAGCAGCUUUAAUAUUAUUUCCAUCUUUAGGUGAAACAUAUUAUAGCCUACAGCAACUGUUAGCAGCAGUCUAAUAUGUAUAAAGUAGGAAGUGUAUUUCAUAUUAUUAUAUCAGGGUUUGAAUGUAUUUAUUUUUUAUGCCAGGUCUCCAGUUUUCAGUAGGAACGGCUCCUAAAACUGCCUGCUAUUCUGCUUCCAACCUCUAGAGGGAGCGCUAUUCAUUGUUGAAACAAUACUCAUGAGACUGUCGGGGUCUUUCCAAGUAUUUGGCCUUACAAAUGCGUGGAAUAUAUACUCUUAGGACACCAACUCACUGCUAAGGAGACAGGUUUUUUUUUUUAUCUUCAGCAGGUCAGACACAAACUGGACACUUUAUUCUAAUGCAUGAAGUUAUCUUUUGGUCAUGUUGUGUUUUUAUUUGAAACUCCUUUUUCAAGGGAAACACUUUUGUUGGCAAAUAUGCAAAUAUUAAGGUUAAGCUGUAAAUGGUUCUACUUCUGAGAUUUGACUUGCCCUACUUUGUGUGCAUGUCAGCAGUGUAGUGUGUCACAAAAUUACUUCUCAUGCAAAUCUUGGAAAAUGCUGCACUGCUCUUUUUCAGGAGAGAGGAAAGUGAGAGGUACAACCACGUGAAAACACUGUGAUGGUUUGGAGUUGCGUUUUUUGCUUUUUGCCAGUGAUGUUGAGGGUCUUGUUAAAAGUUGUGUAACUGUGAACAUAUAAAAGUACCGUCAGGUUUUGAUCCACUAUUCAAUACUGUAAUACAUCUUAGAAGAGUUUGACUGACAACAGUUUCAUAGUUUCGUUUUUCAACAUGACAGUGGUUGCAAAAACCUUGCCAGUGCAUUAAAGGCGCACCUGGACAAAAAAAUGAAUUGGCAUCCUCAGAGCCUGGACAUCAACAUUAUUCAAGCAUUGUGGGAUCAUCUCGACAGAGGACAGAACAAAAGGCUCUUUAUGUACUGUUUCUCCAUAUAUGUUUGCACAUAAUUCAACAAAUCAUUGCACCCAUUUUCCAUUUCCCUAGGAAAACAUAAAGAAAUGCUUUAUCGUUUUAUUUUAAAGUGUAAAGAAAUGCUGCCAACACACACGUGUUUACAUAUUUUAUGCUGUAACAUCUUUGAGAAUAAUGUAACAGCCACAAAGUAUCACAGAUUUUCUAUAAGUCUACAUGUCACUGUGACAUUCACUCUGCUGCUAUUCUCCAUCAGCAAGGACAGAUGUGUUACAUUAGACGGGAUAAGUUAUUGAUCCCCGUCCUGCACUCUGCUGCCAGGAAUUCUCCCGGAAGAGUGUACUGCACAUCCAACCCCCACCAACUGCUUUUCUGUGCAUCUCUCCAUCUCUUCUCUCUCUCUCUCUCUCUCUCUCGUCUCAGUAUGCUUAGCUUAUCUCUCUUGUUUUUUCCUCGAUAAGGUUCCUGCAAUGCAUUAAAAUCAGGGGACUUACUUGGGCCGACUGAAUGCAAGGUAAGAAAAGACAUGUGCUGGUACUGUGCAUGCCUGCUGCUGCUGCUCAGAGAUUAUGGUGCAACACAUUAUGCAGUGUCAUGAUGCAGCAACGCAUAUAAAUUGAUAAACAGGUUCUUCUCUUUAUUUUUACAGAGUUAAAACAUUUCGGGGGUGGAGCCGCACUGGUGAUUUCAUUGGAUAGUUUAAACUUGCUUUCUAAGAGGAAAUGCACUAACAAAGGAAUAAGGAAAAGGUAUCAUUUGCUUUUUAAUAAUGCCUUGGAGUCUGUGUAGUAAUUGGAGACACUAAGGGUGUAAUGUGCAGUGUUUUCCUUUUCUUACUUGUAGACCUUUGAGGUAUCUGUUCAUGGUUUGGCUGGUUGGAAGUUUUAUAAUCUUAUCCCGAGUCUGUCCACCUGUUACACAGUGAGGUGUUAAUUUACCCGAAACAGGGCAGAUUACAGGCUUUACGGCCUGCUGCAUACGUGUGUGUGCGACCAUGAGAGUGUGUGUGUGUCUUUUCACAUCGUUUACGUCACAGCUGCUGUGAGUCAGCUCCUCUCUUCCUUUCCUGAGUCACUCAUCCAGUGGUUGCUUGGUUACUGCAGAGCGGUGAAAGUUUCCUAUUGCGUCUUUGUCUCCGUGGACGGAUGGGCUUCGAUAUUUAUUCAGGCUCAGGAGUGAGUGUUCAAAUAAUGUACGUGUUUGUGUGCAUGCGUGCAUCUGCGGUCGCUGCUUCAGCCAACGGGCAAAGGCUGACAAAUCAGUUUCAGCACAUCCUGUUAUUGAGAGACACUGAAUGGAUGUCUGGGUACCGCAACUGAACCCUUAAUAAGCUGACACUGCCAAGGAAUUGUAUUUAGAGGAGACACAAAAGAGAAUCCUAAUUAGAAAAAGCAUGCAUGUCAUUUUUAGUCAUAUUUUUAAAAUUGCGACAGGUUCCAUUCUCACACCAUCAACAUCCAAAUGUUUUUGGCCAGGCGAUAAAAAGUCCAUUUCAAUAUUUAAGCUACUGGAGCACAAUUUUUAAAAGGCAAUUUGAGCCUGAGCACUGACUACUUAAUUUUAACUGGCAUGUGCCAUCAACACCGUUAGCUGGUAGGUGAUGAAACUGUGGAGAUUGGUGACAUAUUAAAGGAAAGCCCAAUAUUAAGUGUGCCAGCAUGACCCCCAGAACAGCCUCAUUGUUCCUUGCAAUUGAUUUUCUUUGUUUCUCGAACUAUUCAGGAACGACAGUGCGCCAUUCUUUAAAAAAAAAAAAGAAAGAAAAAGAAGCCACCAGUCUCUCAAGUGAGAUCUUGGGUUGAGAUCUGAUGACUUCAAACAUGUUAUUCACAUAAUUUUCAGACUCUUCCUUUGUUACAUGCCUCUCCAACCCUACUGGACUGCAGUGACGGUCCAAUGCUGUUAUAUGGACUUAUUUGGUGGUGUAAAUAAAGGCAUGCGUGUUGUAGCUUGGUCCUCACACUACUUCUUUCUUCCCAUCUUUAUUCUGUCAUGACUGCAGAAUCAAAUCUUUGGUCAUGCUGCAUGAAUUGGGGGGGGGGGCUUCCUUGCAAAAAUAUUUGCAAGGGUGAAACUUCUGUAUUUAAAUCAAUGCACCACCCCAAGUAGGUGCUAUGCAGGAGUGUAAAGUUUUCUAAUAGGAUAGAAAUAUUACAUCAUAGGAUAAAGGUAAAUCACUUUAUGAUGAUUUGCAGUGGCCCCUCCCUCUAAUACUCCAAGUAGAACUCAAACAUGGCCUCAGAACACAACAAAGUGGUUUAACUCCCUCGCUUAGGGAGUCACAAGUUCAAGAUUCUUUCUUUCAUUAGUCACAUGUCUGGAUUUUUAAUAGUGUAUGCUAAAUGUACAAAAUAUAAUAAAUUGCUCCACUCCAAACUACCAUUUCACUAUAUGCUUUUUAAGAUUCUCAAGGUAAAUAAAUACAUUCUUAGGUAAAUAAACCUGUAAAUAAGUGGAACAAACAUUGGUACUCUGUUGCUGAUAAAAUCAGUUUGGCUACAAGAAUUUACAAAAUGAGCAAACAGUAAAAUUAUAUUCUAUAUAGAUUGGUUUUUUUUAAUUAUAACUAUAACAUAGUGAGUGUAUUGGCCUACAUAAUGAAUUUUAUUUUAUUAUAACUUGUAUUAUCUCUGUAUUCAUUGAAGUAUUUGCCAAUCUGUGAAUAUGCUGAGAGCACAAACAUCACCACGACAACAGCAAGGCAAGAAACACAUGUAGGUGGUCAGACAUUAGGUUAGUGCGUUAAUUAGUUUGAGGUGAAGCUGUUUGAGUCAUUGUGAAUCAUUCAUACAGGGAUGAAGAGCUUCAUUUGUGGAUGUCCUCAGGUCAGAUGAUACAGGAUGACGAGGAGGGACUACCAGUCACCUGCUUCAGCUUUCAAAGAUGCUGCUCAACCUGUAAACCGUAGAGGAGCACUGACUCCAGAUCAACCUUGGUAACAGCAUCAUCAUCCUUCUCCCUCUGUCGCCAGCGCCGACGGAUCAAGCAACUAGCGUUUGCUUUGCUUGAUCUUUUUGGUACAGAUUCCCCACUUGGAGAAGACUUAGUUUAAAUGUGUGGGACACAGUUUUAACACAAAGAAUUUAAAUAUGGCCGCCCGCCAAGAUCACCACAAUAAGUUUAUCAGUUUCAGCGAUGACUGUAUGCCAGCACAACUUUUUAGUGACAUUUACUCCUUGCAGAAUUGCAAUACUUUUCUUGGGAAUAGUGAUUGUCUUAUCAGUGACAACAACAAUACGACAGCUAUGAAAAGCUCCACUGCCCAAUGCCCCUUCUGUCCGAACACUAACUCUGAGAAUGACCAGAGGGAAAAUGUUGACAGAGACUAUUUAAAUACUGCCAACCAAAGAAGACUUCCAACAUCCUCUCAAAACUACAAUCAUCCAGGAGAAUCAUGCGGACGGGACAGGAAAGUGAAAAUAAGGAAGAGUGUGUCAUUUGAUGAUGAUGUCAUUGUCUACCUGUUUGAUCAGGUACUGAUUUCCUGUUCUACUUUAACCUUUAUUUUAAUGCAUUUUUAGGCUUUUUAUCUUUUUGUAGCUAAUAAUGUGUUUAUUAAAUGUUUUUAACAGGACUGUUUCAACCAUGUUACUGAAUACUGAAUACUUCCUGUUUAUUCUUAGGAGAGUCCAACUCUGGACAUGCACUUUGAGUCUUACACGUCUCUGAUGAGCAGCUAUUCCUCCAACCUGCCAGGCGUCACAUUAGAAGAUAAUGCCUUCGAAUGGGAGGAUGACUUCUCGGCUUUGGAGAAGAGCUGCCAUUUUCAGUAUGACGGGCACUCUCAUCCCUGCAGCCUACUGCAGACACAUAACCGGACUGCCCAGUCCAGACCAGAGAAUGGCUGUCUACCCCAAACCUGCCUUUUCCUCACCUAUGUCACUGAGUCCGACCUCGAGUGAGAUAAGGAGAGCCAGCCUUGGCCUAAUGGAAAAACUGACUAAUCGUCCAGAUCUCUCCUCUUCACCCUAACUCAUCUCCUACCCGCCCUCCCCCUUUUAUGAUGAGUCAGGGAUUUUAAUAGCUUUUUUUUCACUCCGUCUUUGCUCCAAAUAGAUUCAGCGCACUUGCCAUUCAUGACAUCACAGCCGAGCAGGACUCUCUGACAGCGCAUUCAGUUUUCACAGUUGUUGGUAUGACAAGAUUACUGCCCAUGAUGUCAAAUAACGGUAAAUAAGAGUUGCAUAAGAGUGCUGGUGCCUUUCCAGCUGCAAACUGCUUUGGAAGCUACUCUUUAUGCCAGGUUGCGUCCUUUGACUCGAUGUAGGAAACAGAAACAGAAACUUACGUGUGUUUAACAAACUCCUGUGUGCUUCUGCAGUCGCGCUUUAUCUUUAAAUUGCUGUAGUUUUCAGGCUAAUGUUGGUGUUGAAGAAAAUAUGUUGUUUAUACGGUUUGUUUUGCUCAAACAGAGCAUGCUUGCGGGGGCCCUGUUUGCUUGCCUCAUUACUGAAGUGUGUUGAGCUCAGAACAUAUCAGCGGCUGUGGUAAAAUAAACAGUGUAAGCCUUAGGGCCAAUGGAGGCAGAAACUGUGCACACUAAAGCGCAAAGAUAAUAUUUCCACAGAGGCAACUUCAGCAAGGUUUGGUUGAUUAGAUACAAUGUAGCUGAGGAGGGAAGGAAACCUGGCAGGACCUGUCUUACUGUUCACAAACACACACACACACACACACACACACACACACACACACACACACACACACACACACACACACACACUCUUUAGAAGAUAUCAAAAUAAAUCCCAUUCAUUUAUUAGAGACUUAUAGUAACCUUAAGCCAAGCGUCCUCCUAAAUAUCCUCUAAUGAUUGACAUUAUGUGGACUUUUGGGGCUUUUGUCCUUAUAUGUGAGGCGAGUCCCCACUGUGUGACUGUGUAAACAGGUUUAUGUUCCCACAACACGAGUAAUAGAAGUACACACACACACACACAAACGCACACAAGCUGCUCAAGGGCAUCAAACGCUGGAAGUGUUUGCUUCUAAAAGCUGGGAGCUUCACACCUGUAACGUUGCUGUGUCUGUGACAUCCCAACACUGUGCUAAUGUUGUUAAUGCUCAGACUAAGAGGUUUGGAGAAAAAGUUAGAGAGGUGAGGCUGAGAUGGUUUGGGCAUGUGCAGAGGAAAGAUUGGGCCAAAGAUGUUGAAGAUGAAGCUCCCAGGCAGGAGGAAAGGAGGAAGACCUCAGAGAAGAUUCAUGGAUGGAGCAAAGGAAGACAAGUAGUGGGUUGAAGUGACCAAGGUGGAUGAUAGAAAUAGAGUGAGAUAGAGGCUGAUAAUCCACUGUGACCCCUAAAGGGAGUAACUAAAAUAAUAAGAAAUCCAUUAGCCAUUAAAUUGUUGAAUAGAAAAAAUGUAGUGGCCAACUGCCAUGAAGCAGUGUGGUUUCUGUGUAUAGACAUGAGAUUUUGUAUGUUUUCUAGAGAUUUGUUUCGUCACAAACAGCAACACCAUUGUUUAGGUCUUGUGAGUGUGUAGGCCAUAUAGUAAGAAUAAGCACACAAAGCUAUGAACGCAUAACUGGUUCAUAGUGUCCAGAUCUGAAAAGUGAGGCCAAUGUGGAUGUGUCUUAACCUCCCAAGACCCGAACUCUUCCACGGCACACAUUUUUAAUUUCUCUUUGAUAUUUGGGCUGA
RNA transcript from Haplochromis burtoni (Burton's mouthbrooder), 13783 nucleotides. It is a transcript of the gene named basic helix-loop-helix family, member a15, with no coding region annotated. The record is from RefSeq and is a predicted model, not a curated record. The transcript is spliced from 3 exons. Lineage: Eukaryota; Metazoa; Chordata; Actinopteri; Cichliformes; Cichlidae.